UUGAACGCUGGCGGCCGUCUUAACACAUGCCAGUCGAGCGGUAGCACAGGGGAGCUUGCUCCCUGGGUUACGAGCGGCGGACGGGUGUGUAAUUUCUGUGAAACUGCCUGCUGGAGGGGGAUAACUACUGGAAACGGUAGCUAAUACCGCAUAACGUCGCAAGACCAAAGAGGGGGACCUUCGGUCCUCUUGCCAUCAGAUGUGCCCAGAUGGGAUUCGCUAGUAGGUGGGUUAAUUGCUCACCUAGGCGACGAUCCCUAGCUUGUCCGAGAGGAUGACCAGACACCCUGGAUGUGAGAAACGGUCCCGACUCCUACGGGAGGAAGCAGUGGGGAAUCUUGCGCGAUGGGGGAAAGCCUGAUGCAGCCAUGCCGGGUGUGUGAAGAAGGACUUCGGGCUGUAAAGCACUUUAGGCGAGGAGGAAGGUGGUGAGCUUAAUACGUUCAGAAAUUGACGUUACUCGCAGAAGAAGCACCGGCUAACUCCGUG
Molecule: ribosomal RNA, 489 nt
Filed under: uncultured bacterium
Lineage: Bacteria
Description: partial 16S ribosomal RNA
Rfam family: Bacterial small subunit ribosomal RNA
Source: RNAcentral